UACGUAGGUGGCAAGCGUUGUCCGGAAUUACUGGGCGUAAAGGGCGCGUAGGCUGCUCGCUAAGUCGGGUGUGAAAACUCUGGGCUCAACCCAGAGCCUGCAUUCGAAACUGACGAGCUAGAGUUCUGGAGGGGAAAGCGGAAUUCCUGGUGUAGCGGUGAAAUGCGUAGAUAUCAGGAGGAACACCGGUGGCGAAGGCGGCUUUCUGGACAGAAACUGACGCUGAGGCGCGAAAGCUAGGGGAGCAAACAGG
RNAcentral lists this ribosomal RNA (253 nucleotides) under uncultured bacterium. RNAcentral's name for it is "partial 16S ribosomal RNA". It matches the Rfam family "Bacterial small subunit ribosomal RNA", at positions 524 to 776 of the family's 1533-position model. The record is from RNAcentral.